This is a long non-coding RNA of Raphanus sativus (radish), 626 nucleotides long. RefSeq lists it as uncharacterized. The record is from RefSeq and is a predicted model, not a curated record. NCBI's taxonomy places the organism in Eukaryota, Viridiplantae, Streptophyta, Magnoliopsida, Brassicales, Brassicaceae. The transcript is spliced from 3 exons.
CACCCAGUUCAACUAAUCAAAGAGUUUGAGAACUUUCAUUUUCGAAUCUCAUGUCCGAGUUCAGAGAAUCCGUAAAUUCACAUGGUAUACUCAGACAAAUUGACUGUAACAAAGCACUAAUGCUACUCGUAUUAAUUGCCCUUUUGAAAGUCAGGAUAUAUGGGUGACCAGAUAUAUACUCAAGGCUGAAGAAAAUGUUGUAUACACUGAACCGAAUAUCACGAAAUUCCAAACUUUUGCUUAGAAGGCUCAUCUGAGUCAGGGUAUGGGAUCUUGACGUUGUUUCUUCAUCGGGGAUGAAGUGGUGAUCGUUUUUCGGUUGUCCGGUGAUGCUUGUGGGAGGCAAGCUUUCUGAGUCUCUUCAGAUCUCUAUCCUCGCCUACUGAUUUUUGUGUGGUUUGUGUUCCACUCUCUUUCGCCCCUGGUUUCCUUUCAGCAAGGAUGGGCUUGGAGAGUUUGCUGGCUCCUAGUGGAGCUUAACUUCUGGAUCCUUGUGGAGUGACAGUUUUUGUCUAUUUGCUAUAUCUCAUGCGACAUUUCAAUGACAUUUUAGUUUUUUUCCCUCUGUUUAAAUUGAGUUGUUUUCAAGCUGCUAUACUGUGAAUAAAAGAAGAACCAGUUUCAAU